This is a non-coding RNA of Delphinapterus leucas (beluga whale), 667 nucleotides long. The record is from RefSeq and is a predicted model, not a curated record. Lineage: Eukaryota; Metazoa; Chordata; Mammalia; Artiodactyla; Monodontidae.
CCCUAGUAAACAUACUGCCUGUGCUCCACCCACAUCUCUUUGGAGCCUGUUUACCAGUUCUGGCCAUCCUCUUGCCCUGCGUGUUUGCUGGAGGCUGCCCUUGGGCUACUGGAGGGGCUUUGUGGCACACAGGGAUGGAAGUGCUUGGGAUUUGAUGACCCACUAGAUCAGGGUGUAGCCAAGGACUGACUGAGUGUUCCCAGCUCUUUUCUUUGAACUAUGGAUCUAUUGCUGUGGGAUGGAGCACAGUCCUGUCCUCGAAGGACUUGCACUUAAUUUUUGGUGCCUGGCCUGGGAUCCCCUCCACUCAGCAAUGGAGAACUUCCCUCAUAUUAAAUCCCUCUCACCCUUUGAAUCUCUCUUGCUUCUUCUGCUACCAACUGGAUACAACUCUCUGCUUUGAAAGGGCCCACGUGAUUGGAAUAGGACCAUUGGAACAAUCUCCCUAUUUCAAGGUAACUUCCCUAAACUUAAUUGCACUGUGAAGUCCCCCCCUUUUUUUUCCAUGUAAAGCAGCAUAAGCAUGGACAUGAUAUCCCAUCAUAUUCACGGUCCUGUGGAACAGAGAAGGAAAUCCUGGGGGGCCAUAUUAGAAUUCAGCCCAGCAUGCAAGGGAACCAUUAAGAUCAGAAUAAAGGCAACAGUGGGGAUGCCAAGAUCCAGUGUG